This 686-nucleotide ribosomal RNA is filed under the name Pseudomonas sp. Its description in RNAcentral is "bacterial SSU rRNA". It matches the Rfam family "Bacterial small subunit ribosomal RNA", at positions 60 to 741 of the family's 1533-position model. The record is from RNAcentral. Lineage: Bacteria; Pseudomonadati; Pseudomonadota; Gammaproteobacteria; Pseudomonadales; Pseudomonadaceae.
AGUCGAGCGGUAGAGAGAAGCUUGCUUCUCUUGAGAGCGGCGGACGGGUGAGUAAUGCCUAGGAAUCUGCCUGGUAGUGGGGGAUAACGUUCGGAAACGAACGCUAAUACCGCAUACGUCCUACGGGAGAAAGCAGGGGACCUUCGGGCCUUGCGCUAUCAGAUGAGCCUAGGUCGGAUUAGCUAGUUGGUGAGGUAAUGGCUCACCAAGGCGACGAUCCGUAACUGGUCUGAGAGGAUGAUCAGUCACACUGGAACUGAGACACGGUCCAGACUCCUACGGGAGGCAGCAGUGGGGAAUAUUGGACAAUGGGCGAAAGCCUGAUCCAGCCAUGCCGCGUGUGUGAAGAAGGUCUUCGGAUUGUAAAGCACUUUAAGUUGGGAGGAAGGGCAGUUACCUAAUACGUAAUUGUUUUGACGUUACCGACAGAAUAAGCACCGGCUAACUCUGUGCCAGCAGCCGCGGUAAUACAGAGGGUGCAAGCGUUAAUCGGAAUUACUGGGCGUAAAGCGCGCGUAGGUGGUUUGUUAAGUUGAAUGUGAAAUCCCCGGGCUCAACCUGGGAACUGCAUCCAAAACUGGCAAGCUAGAGUAUGGUAGAGGGUGGUGGAAUUUCCUGUGUAGCGGUGAAAUGCGUAGAUAUAGGAAGGAACACCAGUGGCGAAGGCGACCACCUGGACUGAUACU